Molecule: transfer RNA, 86 nt
Filed under: Phakopsora pachyrhizi
Lineage: Eukaryota; Fungi; Basidiomycota; Pucciniomycetes; Pucciniales; Phakopsoraceae
Description: tRNA-Ala
Rfam family: tRNA
About the family: Transfer RNA (tRNA) molecules are approximately 80 nucleotides in length. Their secondary structure includes four short double-helical elements and three loops (D, anti-codon, and T loops).
Source: RNAcentral
GGGGUUCUAGCUCAUCGGUAGAGCGCUCGCUUAGCAUGAUCAGGUGGAUGUGCGAGAGGCGCUGGGUUCGAUUCCCAGGUACUCCA